UAUCCUCCCAGCAAAGAGUUUGAUGCAAAACUACGGGAUGAGGAAGCUAGAAGACAAGGAGCUACUGGAGGCAAGGGCCAGAGACCUGACAUUGACAGAAGAGGAACUAGAGAAUCUCGAGCAAUCCCAGCACCAGAUGCCAAUGCUGAAUUAGUCUUAUCAAUGCAGAAAAGACAAGGUCAGUCAAAUUCUAAGAGCCGGAGUGAGAAGUUUAACCCUCAUCCAGAAGAUGUAGCUUCUGGUUUUCCAAUUGAUCCACCUAGACCAUCACAAGUUGUGGAAUCGAGUGUAGAUCCACAUGGGCAGCAGCAUAAGAAAGCCUCCCAUUCUGGGCCAUUGGCCCACCGUUCUGCUUGGGCAAAGGCUGGUAGAACCCUAGAUGAUGCUCCAAAAGUUUCUACUGGGGCUGACUUGUCAACAAUGUCAGGCUUAGUGGCAGCAAGAAGGAGUUUAUUAUCUGAAGACCACAGAGAAAGGUCUGGCCCAUCACAGCCAGAAGUUCCUAAAUUAAUGGCGAGGUUUCCAGGGUCCUUCAAGGAAGCCUCGGAAUCCCUUGUCCAGGAUCAAAAGCAUUACUCUCAGGGCAUCGCAAGCUCUCACCAA
This 603-nucleotide unclassified non-coding RNA is filed under the name Hevea brasiliensis (rubber tree). The record is from RNAcentral. Lineage: Eukaryota; Viridiplantae; Streptophyta; Magnoliopsida; Malpighiales; Euphorbiaceae.